Non-coding RNA from Schistosoma mattheei, 46 nucleotides. The record is from Rfam. Lineage: Eukaryota; Metazoa; Platyhelminthes; Trematoda; Strigeidida; Schistosomatidae.
GUACUGCUGACGAGUCCAACAAUAGGACGAAACGGCCUUCUGGUGU